GACGAACGCUGGCGGCGUGCUUAACACAUGCAAGUCGAACGGAAAGGCCCUGCUUUUGUGGGGUGCUCGAGUGGCGAACGGGUGAGUAACACGUGAGUAACCUGCCCUUGACUUUGGGAUAACUUCAGGAAACUGGGGCUAAUACCGGAUAGGAGCUCCUGCUGCAUGGUGGGGGUUGGAAAGUUUCGGCGGUUGGGGAUGGACUCGCGGCUUAUCAGCUUGUUGGUGGGGUAGUGGCUUACCAAGGCUUUGACGGGUAGCCGGCCUGAGAGGGUGACCGGCCACAUUGGGACUGAGAUACGGCCCAGACUCCUACGGGAGGCAGCAGUGGGGAAUAUUGCACAAUGGGCGGAAGCCUGAUGCAGCAACGCCGCGUGCGGGAUGACGGCCUUCGGGUUGUAAACCGCUUUCGCCUGUGACGAAGCGUGAGUGACGGUAAUGGGUAAAGAAGCACCGGCUAACUACGUGCCAGCAGCCGCGGUGAUACGUAGGGUGCGAGCGUUGUCCGGAUUUAUUGGGCGUAAAGGGCUCGUAGGUGGUUGAUCGCGUCGGAAGUGUAAUCUUGGGGCUUAACCCUGAGCGUGCUUUCGAUACGGGUUGACUUGAGGAAGGUAGGGGAGAAUGGAAUUCCUGGUGGAGCGGUGGAAUGCGCAGAUAUCAGGAGGAACACCAGUGGCGAAGGCGGUUCUCUGGGCCUUUCCUGACGCUGAGGAGCGAAAGCGUGGGGAGCGAACAGGCUUAGAUACCCUGGUAGUCCACGCUGUAAACGGUGGGUACUAGGUGUGGGGUCCAUUCCACGGGUUCCGUGCCGUAGCUAACGCUUUAAGUACCCCGCCUGGGGAGUACGGCCGCAAGGCUAAAACUCAAAGGAAUUGACGGGGCCCCGCACAAGCGGCGGAGCAUGCGGAUUAAUUCGAUGCAACGCGUAGAACCUUACCUGGGUUUGACAUGGAUCGGGAGCGCUCAGAGAUGGGUGUGCCUCUUUUGGGGUCGGUUCACAGGUGGUGCAUGGCUGUCGUCAGCUCGCGUCGUGAGAUGUUGGGUUAAGUCCCGCAACGAGCGCAACCCUUGUUCACUGUUGCCAGCACGUUAUGGUGGGGACUCAGUGGAGACCGCCGGGGUCAACUCGGAGGAAGGUGGGGAUGACGUCAAGUCAUCAUGCCCCUUAUGUCCAGGGCUUCACGCAUGCUACAAUGGCUGGUACAGAGAGUGGCGAGCCUGUGAGGGUGAGCGAAUCUCGGAAAGCCGGUCUCAGUCCGGAUUGGGGUCUGCAACUCGACCUCAUGAAGUCGGAGUCGCUAGUAAUCGCAGAUCAGCAACGCUGCGGUGAAUACGUUCCCGGG
This 1343-nucleotide ribosomal RNA is filed under the name uncultured bacterium. RNAcentral describes it as "16S ribosomal RNA". It matches the Rfam family "Bacterial small subunit ribosomal RNA", at positions 28 to 1378 of the family's 1533-position model. The record is from RNAcentral.